RNAcentral lists this ribosomal RNA (227 nucleotides) under uncultured bacterium. RNAcentral describes it as "partial 16S ribosomal RNA". It matches the Rfam family "Bacterial small subunit ribosomal RNA", at positions 109 to 334 of the family's 1533-position model. The record is from RNAcentral.
AGUAACGCGUGAGGAACCUGCCUCAAAGAGGGGGACAACAGUUGGAAACGACUGCUAAUACCGCAUAAGCCCACAGCUCGGCAUCGAGCAGAGGGAAAAGGAGUGAUCCGCUUUGAGAUGGCCUCGCGUCCGAUUAGCUAGUUGGUGAGGUAACGGCCCACCAAGGCAACGAUCGGUAGCCGGACUGAGAGGUUGAACGGCCACAUUGGGACUGAGACACGGCCCAG